ACUUAAAUAGCUUAUAUUUAGAGCAUGAUAUUGAAGAUAUUAAGGAAAUUAAUAGAAUUUUUAAGUA
RNAcentral lists this transfer RNA (67 nucleotides) under Agonum muelleri. Its description in RNAcentral is "tRNA-Phe". The record is from RNAcentral. Lineage: Eukaryota; Metazoa; Arthropoda; Insecta; Coleoptera; Carabidae.